UGGCUUGCUGCUCAAGUGCAGAAUCCU
RNAcentral lists this non-coding RNA (27 nucleotides) under Rattus norvegicus (Norway rat). The record is from RNAcentral. Lineage: Eukaryota; Metazoa; Chordata; Mammalia; Rodentia; Muridae.